RNAcentral lists this ribosomal RNA (468 nucleotides) under uncultured bacterium. RNAcentral's name for it is "partial 16S ribosomal RNA". It matches the Rfam family "Bacterial small subunit ribosomal RNA", at positions 28 to 507 of the family's 1533-position model. The record is from RNAcentral.
GACGAACGCUGGCGGCGUGCUUAACACAUGCAAGUCGAACGGAAAGUCCCUGAUAUUGUGCGGUGCUCGAGUGGCGAUUGUGUGAGUGACACGUGCGUAUCCUGAACUCGACUUUAGGAUAACUUCUAGUAACUGGUGCUAAUACCGGACAGCUGCUCAUGCUGCAUGGUGGGGGAUGGAUAGAUUCGGCGGUUGGGGAUGAACUGGCGGCUUAUCAGCUUGUUGGGUGGGUAGAGGCUUACGAAGACAUAGAAGGGCAGCAGGCCUGAGAGGGUGACCGGCCACAUUGGGACUGAGAUACGGCACAGACUAGUACGGGAGGCAGCAGUGGGGAAUAGUGCACUAUGGGCUGAAGCCUGAUGCAGCAACGCCGCGUGCGGGAUGACGGCCUUCGGGUUGUAAACCGCUUUCGCCUGUGACGAAGCGUGAGUGACGGUAAUGGGUAAAGAAGCACCGGCUAACUACGUG